RNAcentral lists this transfer RNA (77 nucleotides) under Undibacterium hunanense. RNAcentral describes it as "Undibacterium sp. CY18W tRNA-Ile". It matches the Rfam family "tRNA". Rfam says of the family: Transfer RNA (tRNA) molecules are approximately 80 nucleotides in length. Their secondary structure includes four short double-helical elements and three loops (D, anti-codon, and T loops). Further hydrogen bonds mediate the characteristic L-shaped molecular structure. tRNAs have two regions of fundamental functional importance: the anti-codon, which is responsible for specific mRNA codon recognition, and the 3' end, to which the tRNAs corresponding amino acid is attached (by aminoacyl-tRNA synthetases). tRNAs cope with the degeneracy of the genetic code in two manners: having more than one tRNA (with a specific anti-codon) for a particular amino acid; and 'wobble' base-pairing, i.e. permitting non-standard base-pairing at the 3rd anti-codon position. Lineage: Bacteria; Pseudomonadati; Pseudomonadota; Betaproteobacteria; Burkholderiales; Oxalobacteraceae. The record is from RNAcentral. RNAcentral also lists the same sequence under 1 other name.
ACUUGUAUAGCUCAAUUGGUCAGAGCGCUGCCUUGAUAAGGCAGAGGCUGGUGGUUCAAUUCCAUCUGCAAGUACCA